UUUUUCCAACUUGCAGUCCACACUUGGCGAUAAGAUAAUCGGCACCAUUUGACUCAAUCCGAAUAGACCGUAUGUGUAACACUGGUUAGUUAUGAUUUCUACACCCCACCCAGUCAACUACCUGCACAUCCCAAGAUACCCAUUGUUCCAUUUAUCAACAACAUAACCAGAGUGUGGAAAUUAUUCAAAUCAAUACGGCAUAAACAUUCGGACUUCUUGGGUGACAUAAAUCACACGAUCGACGCCUUACCGUCGACAGCAGACAUAAACAAUUUUCAAACUUUUAAACAAAGGGUCCAGCCUGUGAACCCAUUUGUCAGCAUAAAAGCUUCGACCAAUCCAAAUUAAGUAAACAAAAGAUGCAGCCCGGCGACGUAUAGAUCAGGCCACAGUUUCAGGAAAUCAAAAUCAUCAUCACCAUUACCCGAGCCCAAGACACCGACCAUCAAGAGCAACAAGGAGAAGACCCGCUCGCUGGACAACAGGAAAUAAUAUUGUAUAUAAAUAAAUUCAGUAUACGAUAGCAUUAAUUUCUAAAACGAAAUAUUUAAUAUUUUACAUUCAGGAAUAAAGUCUUCCAGUUAAUAGAUUUCUAA
This is a long non-coding RNA of Drosophila sechellia, 596 nucleotides long. RefSeq lists it as uncharacterized. NCBI's taxonomy places the organism in Eukaryota, Metazoa, Arthropoda, Insecta, Diptera, Drosophilidae. The record is from RefSeq and is a predicted model, not a curated record. The transcript is spliced from 2 exons.